AUUGAACGCUGGCGGCAGGCCUAACACAUGCAAGUCGAACGAGUGGCGGACGGGUGAGUAAUGUCUGGGAAACUGCCUGAUGGAGGGGGAUAACUACUGGAACCGGUAGCUAAUACCGCAUACCAUCAGAUGUGCCCAGAGGGGAUUAGCUAGUUGGUGGGGUAACGGCUCACCAAGGCGACGAUCCCUAGCUGGUCGGAGAGGAUGACCAGCCAAACUGGAACGGAGAACCGGUCAAGACUCCUAGGGGAGGAAGAAGUGGGGAAUAUGGGACAAUGGGCGCAAGCCUGAUGCAGCCAUGCCGCGUGUAUGAAGAAGGCCUUCGGGUUGUAAAGUACUUUCAGCGGGGAGGCGGUACCCGCAGAAGAAGCACCGGCUAACUCCGUGCCAGCCGCCGCGGUAAUAC
Molecule: ribosomal RNA, 406 nt
Filed under: uncultured bacterium
Lineage: Bacteria
Description: partial 16S ribosomal RNA
Rfam family: Bacterial small subunit ribosomal RNA
Source: RNAcentral